GACGAACGCUGGCGGCGUGCUUAACACAUGCAAGUCGAACGGAAAGGCCCUGCUUUUGUGGGGUGCUCGAGUGGCGAACGGGUGAGUAACACGUGAGUAACCUGCCCUUGACUUUGGGAUAACUUCAGGAAACUGGGGCUAAUACCGGAUAGGAGCUCCUGCUGCAUGGUGGGGGUUGGAAAGUUUCGGCGGUUGGGGAUGGACUCGCGGCUUAUCAGCUUGUUGGUGGGGUAGUGGCUUACCAAGGCUUUGACGGGUAGCCGGCCUGAGAGGGUGACCGGCCGAAUGGGGAAGGAGAGAGGCCCGAGCCUCCGGGGGGGGGCAGGGGGGGGAAAUGGGGAAAAGGGGGCGGAGGCGGGAGACAACACCCCCGGGGGGGGGAGGACGGCCUUGGGGUUAAAACCCCCUUCCGCGGGUAACGAGGGGGGAGGGAGGGAAAGGAAUAAAAAAGCCCCGGCAAACUCCGGC
Molecule: ribosomal RNA, 468 nt
Filed under: uncultured bacterium
Lineage: Bacteria
Description: partial 16S ribosomal RNA
Rfam family: Bacterial small subunit ribosomal RNA
Source: RNAcentral